ACACAUGUUUUCAAAUCUGUCAAUCCCUUUAACAUUCAUUAGUUCUGGAACGUGAAUCAAGCAAUGCAUCAUCAAUGAACUCAUUUGGCUAAGGUAAAGGUCAAGAGACAAAAAUGGUCCCUUACAGAAUAGGCUUCAGUAACAGGGGAUCUCUUAAAAAAUGAUUAAGCUUUAGUAGAAUGCUAAAGGUAAGUCCCAAGCUAUGCAUAAAGAGAUAAAAUCCCAUCUACCCAGAGUAUAUCAAAUGAAGCUCUAAUGGUAAUCCCAUCUCCAAUCCCAGUAUAAGAACUUAACUCUACCCUUUGCAUUCAUGAAUCCUUUAAACCCUUUUUC
This 333-nucleotide small RNA is filed under the name Arabidopsis thaliana (thale cress). Its description in RNAcentral is "ATSL272540". The record is from RNAcentral. Lineage: Eukaryota; Viridiplantae; Streptophyta; Magnoliopsida; Brassicales; Brassicaceae.